AGGGUAAUAGCUCAGUGGCAGAGCACUUAGCAUGCACGAGGUCCUGGGUUCUAUUCCCAGUACCUCCA
This 68-nucleotide transfer RNA is filed under the name Camelus bactrianus (Bactrian camel). It matches the Rfam family "tRNA". Rfam says of the family: Transfer RNA (tRNA) molecules are approximately 80 nucleotides in length. Their secondary structure includes four short double-helical elements and three loops (D, anti-codon, and T loops). The record is from Rfam by way of RNAcentral. Lineage: Eukaryota; Metazoa; Chordata; Mammalia; Artiodactyla; Camelidae. RNAcentral also lists the same sequence under 3 other names.